AUGAGUGUGUUUAAGUUGCCAGCCUCGGUUUGUGAUGAGCUCACCCGUCUGAUGCGUCAAUAAUGGUGGGGAGUGGAGAAUGGGAAGAAGAAAAUGGCAUGGACAAGUUGGGACAAAAUGAUUCUCCCCUAAGCUAUGGGGGGCAUGGGCUUCAGGGAUAUGCGAGCGUUCAACCAAGCGCUGCUGGCCAAGCAAGCGUGGAGGCUCCUUGACUCUCCUGACAGCCUAGUUGCGAGACUAAUGAAGGCAAAAUACCCUCAAGGUCAGUUAUUGGAUACAGUAUUUUCUAUCUGUGGAUCAGCUGUGUGGAAAGGCAUUCUGCAUGGUUUGGAGCUGCUCAAAAAAGGUGUCAUAUGGCGGGUGGGGGACAGGGAGCAUAUCCGGAUAUGGCGAGACCCUUGGAUCCCACGGCCUUCUUCCUUCCGGCCGAUCACCCCAAAAGGCUCCUGCCGUCUCAAUCGUGUUUCUGCAUUUCUAGAUGCUAACGGGGCAUGGAGGGCUGACCGCCUCCGUGAAUUUUUUUGGGAGAUGGAUGUUCAGCAUAUCCUCAAGAUCCGUACCUCUCCAAGACAGCGAUCUGAUUUCAUCUCCUGGUUUCCUGAGAAGAGUGGCAUUUUCUCUGUCAAAAGUGCAUACAGAUUAGCUACAUACGAUCACAAUACAACAUUUUCUGAUGGGGCAUCAAGCGCGUCAGCGAGCAAUUCCCGUUCCUUAUGGAACUGCGUAUGGCAAGCAUCAGUUCCGCAGAAGAUGAAGAUCACGGUAUGGCAAGUUUUUAUGGGCGUUUUACCCACGCAGAAGUGUAAGGUGCUACGUCAUAUACCUACAACAUCUACUUGUCGGCUAUGUGGACUGGAAGAAGAGUGCACCUUCCAUGCCCUGGUUGCAUGCGAUCAUGCGCGAGCAAUUUGGUUGCAGAUGCGCGACAGAUGGCCACUCCCACCGGACGAGUUUCUUCUUGAUAACGGAAGGGAAUGACUUAUGCAUCUUCUGUGUAGAGUAUCAAAUGAUGUACGGGACAUGAUCAUCAUGUUAAUUUGGCGCAUAUGGCAGCUAAGGAAUGAUCAGACCCAUGGCAAGGAUGCGGCGCCUGUCUCAGCCACGAUGGAAUUCCUGGACAGUUGUUACAAAUCAAUUAAGCUUGCUGGUCGUUACUCUGUGGAUGAGAUUCUGAUAGGAAAAAUGCCAUCUUCGGCGAUUCCAACAGUCCUUCCUGGAAAGGACCUUAUACCCCUACCUUGGCCGGCGCCGAGCCCGGGUCAUGUUGCCCUAACUGUGGAUGGAUCCUUCCAGGCAGCGGAUAACUCAGCGGCGGCCGGUAUGGUGUUGCGCGAAGGACAGAUCAUCUUGGCAGCUUACAGAGUCAUGUUCCACUGCAACGACGCUCUGGAGGCUGAACUUCAUGCACUCAUGCAGGGCAUGGCCUUGGCCAUCCAACACUCGGAGUUCCCAGUCGUCGUUCAGUCCGAUUCUUAUGAAGCCUUGGCGAGUCUAUCUAGCGAUGCUCUAACUCGCUCGGCUUACGGUCAUUUGGUUCUAGAGAUUAAGGAGUUGAUGAGUAAUAGGGAGUUUGUACCUCUGAAAAUUUGUCGUUCUUAG
This 1599-nucleotide ribosomal RNA is filed under the name Triticum aestivum (bread wheat). Its description in RNAcentral is "partial small subunit ribosomal RNA". The record is from RNAcentral. Lineage: Eukaryota; Viridiplantae; Streptophyta; Magnoliopsida; Poales; Poaceae.